GAAGCAUUGCAGCUUUCCCCAGAAGCACAGAGACUGUGCUGGAGGAAUGAGAUGAAGCAGGGCUACUCUACUUUCUAGUUUGUCUCCCCUUUUGGCUUAAAAUUUGUGGAAAUGGCAAAUAAAAUAGGGAAGGAAGUUCUUGAAGUAACUGUAUCAAAUGGAGUAUCUUAAAGAAAACAAAUAACAAAAGCCACCGAAAAGCAAACAUUGUUACACAACAGCACUGGCAACUUCAGUUAGAAAUGCAGAGCUGAAGCCAAGACUGUCUGUCUCCUCUCUGCAGAACAGCUGAGGUCUGGGAGCAGACAGUGUCAUGCUGCGGUGUUCGGGCAGCACACAGUGAGGCAGAGGAGAUACCAUCAUCUGAUGCAUAGCCCGGUGUCUCUCCAGGUGUAGCCAUGAGAACUCAAUGCUGGCACUGCCGAGGCACUGAUGCCAUAUGUGGUGUCACCCACCACGCCCUGGAAGAAUGUAGGUCUUUUAUUCAACUCUCUUUUUUCUUUUCUUUUUUUUUUUCCUUUCUUUUUUUUUUUUUUAUUUUUUUGGCAGAAGAAAGAGAAAAGCUGCUACCUGUCAUCACAGAUGUGUCAGGCUGAAGGUACUCCAGGAUAAGGACUGUGAUGUUCCUGCAACCUGGAGAAUUACAGAGGAAUUUCUUUGUGGCCCAGAAGGCGCUGACCUCAUUCCUCCACCUUCCCACGCCCAGCAGUUUACAGGUUCAUUGGGAAAGAUUAAGGUAAUGAACUGUUCCCUUUCAUUUCCCCAUCCAUAAGCAGAAAUCCUCAGGCCAGAGAUAAGACACUGUGUUCAUCAUAAUAUGUUCCCAAAGGCUGGAGGUGGAACUGUGUGCUGGUGGGCAGGAAGAGGAAAACGCUGCCUAGCACUGCCCUGGAGUGAGCGAUAAAUCUGUAUGAAGGAGAAGGACGUGGGGAUCCAGGGACAAAAAGUGCAGGACAAAGGACAGAAGAACACCCAGCAGCAAACAUAUUUCCUUCUAAGCCAGCAAUGUUUUAUGCACGUGGGGAUCCCUUUGUGCCCAACUCCACCAAAGCUCCCUUCAAAGUAUGCACAGAUGCAAGCAACAGGGAGAAGGCGAGACCUGAGGAAUGCACUCUGAGCAGCAGCAGGAAUCACUCAGCCUCAGUGAUGCUCUGUGUUUUCAGCUGGGGCUGAUGCUCCCCCAGUCCUUCUGUCAGCAGGGCAGGGCUGGGAGAACACACUCAAUAGCAGUGAAAUCAAAGGGCACAAAUCAUGUUUGAACACAUCUGUAUCUGCCAAGCAAGGUCUUGUGGAUCUCAGAGGUAAGACUGCUUUCUCAGUGUGGUGUUCUCUAAAGAGCAAAUGGUGGAGUGUGGGACAGGCAGGGAGGCAUCGGCCAGCUUGAAAUGGGGGCUGUAGGGGCUGUGGCACAUGGAUCUGGAUCUCCAGAGGCGCUGAUGAGAAAUCCACACUGCUUGGUGCCCGGCAGGACACAGGAACCUGAGGGAGCCAUGGUCAU
This 1498-nucleotide long non-coding RNA is filed under the name Coturnix japonica (Japanese quail). RNAcentral describes it as "lncRNA (ENSCJPG00005008821.1)". Lineage: Eukaryota; Metazoa; Chordata; Aves; Galliformes; Phasianidae. The record is from RNAcentral.